This 1316-nucleotide long non-coding RNA is filed under the name Neogale vison (American mink). RNAcentral's name for it is "Neovison vison (American mink) lncRNA (ENSNVIG00000000106.1)". The record is from RNAcentral. Lineage: Eukaryota; Metazoa; Chordata; Mammalia; Carnivora; Mustelidae.
AGAAAAUAUUUAAGGAAUCGACAUCUGUUCUUACUUGUCAGUAAGAAUAUUGAACUGUUUUGGUUUUGCCGUCAAACCAAGUUCCGAGCUACACUUUCUGGAGUGCUUUAUGCAUAGGUAUUACCAGUUCGCUGUAAAAGCUAUUUACUUUGAUGGUUUAUCAUGUCUUGCAUUGUAGACAUACUUUUUAUCAGUUGACCUUCAGUUUGUUAUUUGGCUGCCGAUAUAGGAAUAUAUUACCAAUUUGUGAGAAAUAGGCUAGAUUUUGAAACUUUUUAAACCCUUGUUUUUCCACUACUGUUUAUCUGGGCAGAAGCAUCUGCUUGUAGUUUCAUGGUUUUCAAACAGCUUAAGUGAAGGAAAGGAGUCCCUCUAAACAGAAAAUAAUGUUUUCAUUAAGUGGAAACUAUAGUUAAAGGUCUCAGCAAUUUAAUGAUACAGGAUUUUUUUUUAACUCUUAAAAAUAUAUACUGAGGUGUUAGAAAUGAUUUAUGCUAACCAAGUCCUACUAGUGAGCUCAUAAUUAUGGGAUGAUUUAGCUAUAAUUUGUAACUCUGGUUAUAAUUAGCUUUGUAUCCUAGGCUGGGAAAGCCUUCAGUGAGGGAGUUGUUGCGUGGGAAGUCUCUGUGUGUGAUUUCCAGGCUGUCGGCACAGAAAGGCUUUACCUGUUGCUUCUGAGUCGGGUCCAGCACUCAGAGAACACGGAUGAACACAUGUUGGAUGUAUUCCUAUGGACUGGCUGAUGGACUGCAAGGAGUCAAGAAUACGAACAAGGCGUGAAGAUAUGGAUCUCUCCAUUCCCUCUUGUGGUGCCCUCGUCUCUGCCUGAAGAGAUAGAACAUCAAGGAUGGGCAGGUGCCCCCACCCGGCGUCCUUGGCCAAGGGAGUUGGUCAGGAUUCGUUAUAUGUGUGAGGAACCUCUAUUUAACUAUGUUAUACAAAAAAGGAUUUACUGGCUCAUAUGACUGGAAAAUCCAGCAAGAUUGACCUUGCUUCAGUCGUGGCGAGAACCCAGAGGCUCACGUGGGCUUUGUAAGGGCUCCCUCUCUUUCUCCCUAUUUCUCAGCUCCUUGCUCUCUGGGUCAGCUUCAUUCUGAGGCCCCUUCCUAUGUGCUGGGAAAGCUGACCAUCAAGUAGUUCCCAUCCUGCCUUCUUGGGCUUUUGAGCUAUAGAAAAGAGGGGUUUUGUCUCUUCCAGGUCCUGUUCAUAGAUAGUUCCUUCAAGGGCUCUGACUGGCCCUAUAUCAGUCCACAUGCAGUCUUGAACUAGAUCAUGUGCUCCAUGCUGUGUACAUGGUGGUGGUGGUAGGGUGGGGA